GACGAACGCUGGCGGCGUGCUUAACACAUGCAAGUCGAACGAGUGGCGAACGGGUGAGUAACGCGUAGGUAACUGCCUAUUAGAGGGGGAUAACUAUUGGAAACGAUAGCUAAUACCGCAUACUAGUAGAUGGACCUGCGUUGUAUUAGCUAGUAGGUAGGGUAAUGGCCUACCUAGGCGACGAUACAUAGCCGACCUGAGAGGGUGAUCGGCCACACUGGGACUGAGACACGGCCCAGACUCCUACGGGAGGCAGCAGUAGGGAAUCUUCGGCAAUGGACGAAAGUCUGACCGAGCAACGCCGCGUGAGUGAAGAAGGUUUUCGGAUCGUAAAACUCUGUUGUUAGAGAAGCGGUAUCUAACCAGAAAGCCACGGCUAACUACGUGCCAGCAGCCGCGGUAAUUC
This 406-nucleotide ribosomal RNA is filed under the name uncultured bacterium. Its description in RNAcentral is "partial 16S ribosomal RNA". It matches the Rfam family "Bacterial small subunit ribosomal RNA", at positions 28 to 526 of the family's 1533-position model. The record is from RNAcentral.